ACGCGCUAGAGACGUAAAGAUACACGCACCAGGUACUUAUACUGCAGUUUGCCUGGCGAAGGGCGUGCUGAAAGGCCAGCGAAUACCAACAAAAAUUGGUCAUUAUCAAGAGAAACGAUAGUGUCUCGUGCCAAGUGUACGCACUACAGACGUAAGGAUACACGCACCAGGUACUUAUACUCCAAGUGUGGUUGCAGUUUUCCUGACAAAGGAUGUGCUGAAAAGCCAGCGAAUACGUAAAUAGUUAGCACUGCAAAGAAAAUGGCACACGAGUUUCUCGCUUG
Molecule: long non-coding RNA, 284 nt
Organism: Temnothorax curvispinosus
Lineage: Eukaryota; Metazoa; Arthropoda; Insecta; Hymenoptera; Formicidae
Exons: 4
Source: RefSeq, a predicted model, not a curated record